RNAcentral lists this ribosomal RNA (703 nucleotides) under Pedobacter sp. A24MT15. Its description in RNAcentral is "bacterial SSU rRNA". It matches the Rfam family "Bacterial small subunit ribosomal RNA", at positions 112 to 814 of the family's 1533-position model. Lineage: Bacteria; Pseudomonadati; Bacteroidota; Sphingobacteriia; Sphingobacteriales; Sphingobacteriaceae. The record is from RNAcentral.
AACGCGUAUGCAACCUACCUCAAUCAGGGGGAUAGCCCGAAGAAAUUCGGAUUAACACCGCAUAAAAACACAGGAUAGCAUUAUCCAAUGUUCAAAUAUUUAUAGGAUUGAGAUGGGCAUGCGUGUCAUUAGCUAGUUGGCGGGGUAACGGCCCACCAAGGCGACGAUGACUAGGGGAUCUGAGAGGAUGACCCCCCACACUGGUACUGAGACACGGACCAGACUCCUACGGGAGGCAGCAGUAAGGAAUAUUGGUCAAUGGAGGCAACUCUGAACCAGCCAUGCCGCGUGCAGGAAGACAGCCCUCUGGGUCGUAAACUGCUUUUAUUCGGGAAUAAACCUUAUUACGUGUAAUAAGCUGAAUGUACCGAAGGAAUAAGGAUCGGCUAACUCCGUGCCAGCAGCCGCGGUAAUACGGAGGAUCCAAGCGUUAUCCGGAUUUAUUGGGUUUAAAGGGUGCGUAGGCGGCUUAUUAAGUCAGGGGUGAAAGACGGUGGCUCAACCAUCGCAGUGCCUUUGAUACUGAUGAGCUUGAAUGAACUAGAGGUAGGCGGAAUGUGACAAGUAGCGGUGAAAUGCAUAGAUAUGUCACAGAACACCGAUUGCGAAGGCAGCUUACUAUGGUUUUAUUGACGCUGAGGCACGAAAGCGUGGGGAUCAAACAGGAUUAGAUACCCUGGAGUCCACGCCCUAAACGAUGAAU